GAAGAACCAGUCCCCAAAGAAGGGAGCCAACCGCAGUCCCCCCGCCGCGCCGGAGCUACCUCCGACUGCCAAAAAAAGUAAAAAUUCUCAUAUUCGCUUGAAAUUUGAUUCCGAGCAUCCCCAUAGCCAAAUCAGAGCAAAAAUGACAGCGGGUGAGUAAAAAAUCGCGAGUAAAGCCCGGCGGCACCGCCACGGACAAAACCCGAAACCUUCUCCGAUGAGUCUCUUCUUAUUUUUUGUUUCGUACAAUUUUUUCACCAAUGUUCACCGUUCUGUUUUCUACAGGUUAAGCAAAGAAAAACGUCCAGCCGCAAAUGUGAGCCGAUGGAAUCACCGCACCAAAAAAUUCCAUCGUCGGUAGAUUUCUGUUUUUUGACUUUUUUUUGCCAACCAAUGCCCCAUAACGUGUUUUCUCGCAGGGAUAUGUAUAAAAUCGGUCAAAAUUAGUCAAAACUGACCAAAAACGACCAGACCGAGGUAAACCACCGUCGCGGGCGGCUGUGCCGUCAUUGGAGCACGGCGGUGUUGCUAUG
Molecule: long non-coding RNA, 533 nt
Filed under: Carica papaya (papaya)
Lineage: Eukaryota; Viridiplantae; Streptophyta; Magnoliopsida; Brassicales; Caricaceae
Description: long non-coding RNA (CPAP_LNC010572)
Source: RNAcentral